This 400-nucleotide ribosomal RNA is filed under the name Microbacterium sp. 061-2.2-CV-H26(h)-07. RNAcentral describes it as "bacterial SSU rRNA". It matches the Rfam family "Bacterial small subunit ribosomal RNA", at positions 57 to 456 of the family's 1533-position model. Lineage: Bacteria; Bacillati; Actinomycetota; Actinomycetes; Micrococcales; Microbacteriaceae. The record is from RNAcentral.
GCGAGUCGAACGGUGAAGCCCAGCUUGCUGGGUGGAUCAGUGGCGAACGGGUGAGUAACACGUGAGCAACCUGCCCCUGACUCUGGGAUAAGCGCUGGAAACGGCGUCUAAUACUGGAUACGAGACGUGAUCGCAUGGUCAACGUCUGGAAAGAUUUUUCGGUUGGGGAUGGGCUCGCGGCCUAUCAGCUUGUUGGUGAGGUAAUGGCUCACCAAGGCGUCGACGGGUAGCCGGCCUGAGAGGGUGACCGGCCACACUGGGACUGAGACACGGCCCAGACUCCUACGGGAGGCAGCAGUGGGGAAUAUUGCACAAUGGGCGGAAGCCUGAUGCAGCAACGCCGCGUGAGGGAUGACGGCCUUCGGGUUGUAAACCUCUUUUAGCAGGGAAGAAGCGAAAG